GGGCGGCUAGCUCAGUUGGUAGAGCGACCGCCUUACACGCGGUAGGUCAUAGGUUCGAGUCCUAUGCCGCCCA
This 73-nucleotide transfer RNA is filed under the name Candidatus Yanofskybacteria bacterium RIFCSPHIGHO2_01_FULL_45_42. Its description in RNAcentral is "tRNA-Val". It matches the Rfam family "tRNA". From Rfam's summary of the family: Transfer RNA (tRNA) molecules are approximately 80 nucleotides in length. Their secondary structure includes four short double-helical elements and three loops (D, anti-codon, and T loops). RNAcentral also lists the same sequence under 3 other names. Lineage: Bacteria; Candidatus Yanofskyibacteriota. The record is from RNAcentral.